Small RNA from Streptococcus pneumoniae R6, 57 nucleotides. It matches the Rfam family "Streptococcus sRNA SpF10". Lineage: Bacteria; Bacillati; Bacillota; Bacilli; Lactobacillales; Streptococcaceae. The record is from Rfam.
CAGAUAGAACAUUGCAUUCAGAAUAAUGAAAAACGCAUCAAAAAUGGUGCGUUCUGU